RNAcentral lists this ribosomal RNA (475 nucleotides) under uncultured bacterium. RNAcentral describes it as "partial 16S ribosomal RNA". It matches the Rfam family "Bacterial small subunit ribosomal RNA", at positions 28 to 508 of the family's 1533-position model. The record is from RNAcentral.
GACGAACGCUGGCGGCGUGCUUAACACAUGCAAGUCGAGCGGUAAGGCUCCUUCGGGAGUCCACGAGCGGCGAACGGGUGAGUAACACGUGAGUAAUCUGCCCUUCACUUCGGGAUAACCACCGGAAACGGUGGCUAAUACCGAAUACGACCAGUCUUCGCAUGAGGUGCUGGUGGAAAGUCUUUUCGGUGAAGGAUGUGCUCGCGGCCUAUCAGCUUGUUGGUGGGGUAAUGGCCUACCAAGGCUUCGACGGGUAGCCGGCCUGAGAGGGUGACCGGCCACACUGGGACUGAGACACGGCCCAGACUCCUACGGGAGGCAGCAGUGGGGAAUAUUGGACAAUGGGCGAAAGCCUGAUCCAGCAACGCCGCGUGAGGGAUGACGGCCUUCGGGUUGUAAACCUCUUUCAGUACCGACGAAGCGCCCUGUCGGGUGGUGACGGUAGGUACAGAAGAAGGGCCGGCCAACUACGUGC